AUGCGGGCCCUCUUCUGGAACAUCCGCGGCUUCGGCCAUGAUGGUCGUCGCCGCCAGCUUGUGGAGUACAUGCGAGAUGAGCACAUUGACAUCGUGGCUGUCCAAGAGACCAUGCGCCGCGAAUUCUCGCUCCCCGAGCUCGAGCGUUUGAGCUCCCACCUUUUUGCGUGGCACUGGCUCCCUUCUAGUGGGAGCGCUGGCCACUCGGGUGGCAUCCUUUUAGGCGUAAAGGAUGCCACUUUCGAGGUGGGCAGUAUGGACCGGGGGGAAUUCUUCGUCAGCAUGGAGCUUUUCGAGCGAUCUCUUAAUUUCAAAUGGGAGAUCAUCAUUGUCUACGGACCUGCCGACCAUAGUAGGUCGGCGGCCUUCCUCGAGGAGCUGCAUCGUAAGAUCGCGGCAGCCUCCCUCCCUGUGGUGGUGGGGGGCGACUUUAACCUGCUU
Molecule: ribosomal RNA, 441 nt
Filed under: Triticum aestivum (bread wheat)
Lineage: Eukaryota; Viridiplantae; Streptophyta; Magnoliopsida; Poales; Poaceae
Description: partial small subunit ribosomal RNA
Source: RNAcentral